RNAcentral lists this transfer RNA (74 nucleotides) under Stegodyphus mimosarum. It matches the Rfam family "tRNA". Rfam says of the family: Transfer RNA (tRNA) molecules are approximately 80 nucleotides in length. Lineage: Eukaryota; Metazoa; Arthropoda; Arachnida; Araneae; Eresidae. The record is from Rfam by way of RNAcentral.
GCCUUCGUAGUGUAAUGGUCAAGCACACUCGAUAUGAAUUCGAGAGGUCCGAGGUUCGAGUCCCGGGGAGGGCA